UACUCCGGGGAUAACAGGCUGAUACCGCCCAAGAGUUCAUAUCGACGGCGGUGUUUGGCACCUCGAUGUCGGCUCAUCACAUCCUGGGGCUGAAGUAGGUCCCAAGGGUAUGGCUGUUCGCCAUUUAAAGUGGUACGCGAGCUGGGUUUAGAACGUCGUGAGACAGUUCGGUCCCUAUCUGCCGUGGGCGCUGGAGAACUGAGGGGGGCUGCUCCUAGUACGAGAGGACCGGAGUGGACGCAUCACUGGUGUUCGGGUUGUCAUGCCAAUGGCACUGCCCGGUAGCUAAAUGCGGAAGAGAUAAGUGCUGAAAGCAUCUAAGCACGAAACUUGCCCCGAGAUGAGUUCUCCCUGACUCCUUGAGAGUCCUGAAGGAACGUUGAAGACGACGACGUUGAUAGGCCGGGUGUGUAAGCGCAGCGAUGCGUUGAGCUAACCGGUACUAAUGAACCGUGAGGCUUAACCUUACAACGCCGAAG
This 479-nucleotide ribosomal RNA is filed under the name Escherichia coli. RNAcentral describes it as "partial 23S ribosomal RNA". It matches the Rfam family "Bacterial large subunit ribosomal RNA", at positions 2464 to 2925 of the family's 2925-position model. The record is from RNAcentral. Lineage: Bacteria; Pseudomonadati; Pseudomonadota; Gammaproteobacteria; Enterobacterales; Enterobacteriaceae.